GAUGAACGCUAGCUACAGGCUUAACACAUGCAAGUCGCGGGGUAACAUCUGGUAGAGCUUGCUCUUCCAGGAUGACGACCGGCGCACGGGUGAGUAACGCGUAUCCAACCUGGCCCAUACCACGGGAUAGCCCGUCGAAAGGCGGAUUAAUACCGUAUGCUGUCAUUAAGAUGCAUAUAUUGAUGACGAAAGGACUGGCGGUAUGGGAUGGGGAUGCGUCUGAUUAGCUUGUUGGCGGGGUAACGGCCCACCAAGGCGACGAUCAGUAGGGGUUCUGAGAGGAAGGUCCCCCACAUUGGAACUGAGACACGGUCCAAACUCCUACGGGAGGCAGCAGUGAGGAAUAUUGGUCAAUGGGCGCAAGCCUGAACCAGCCAAGUAGCGUGAGGGAAGACUGCCCUACGGGUUGUAAACCUCUUUUGUUUGGGAAUAAAGUGCGGGACGCGUCCCGCAUUGCAUGUACCAUUUGAAUAAGGACCGGCUAAUUCCGUGCCAGCAGCCG
RNAcentral lists this ribosomal RNA (502 nucleotides) under uncultured bacterium. RNAcentral's name for it is "bacterial SSU rRNA". It matches the Rfam family "Bacterial small subunit ribosomal RNA", at positions 28 to 517 of the family's 1533-position model. The record is from RNAcentral.